RNAcentral lists this long non-coding RNA (1023 nucleotides) under Oryctolagus cuniculus (rabbit). RNAcentral describes it as "lncRNA (ENSOCUG00000037978.1)". Lineage: Eukaryota; Metazoa; Chordata; Mammalia; Lagomorpha; Leporidae. The record is from RNAcentral.
AUGGACUGCCAGGGUGCUGGGUGCUCCGCUGGAGAAAGAGGCGGGCCGGGAGCAUCGCAAGUGCCAGCUGGGGCUGCAGUGGGUGAGCCUGUGGCUGUUUGGAGGAGGCGCCCCCGGCCCGGCUGCACAGAAGGCAGUGGACUGGAUCCGAGACAGGGAAUGGGAAGGCGGCUGGGGUCAGGCCACGGUAAGUGCGUUAAUUACCCGUUACAGCCCCCCAACGUAGUGCGCUGGAGCCAAACUUCAUUCUUUCUCUUGAGUCCGUCAGGGCGGCCCUGCGCGGGGGCCGGUUGGUGCCGGCUGUCCGGGGGCCGGGUGGUGCUGGCUGUCCCUGGGGCUUUGGAGCCUAAGCUGAGUGAGGCAGGAGCCGGGGUGGGGGGUGUUGCUUCAGCAAGGGUGAGACGCUCUGUGACAUGGGUGAGACGCGCCGGGCCAGUUGGAUCACAUUACGGCUGUACUGGACAACGUAUACCUCCGCUCCACAAUUAUGCUCCUGCUGUAAGCAACAGGAGACUGCACAAAACACAGGCGACAGCGGAUGCCUGGGAGCAGCGCUCAGACACAGCAAGCCCCGCCCUGGGCAGCUUCGCCCCCCCCAUCCCCCAACUCCCCCAGCCCCCUCGUCCCUGGGCGAAGCAGUACCCGGGGCCCCGCAGAGCAAAGGAGACAGAGAUGGGGCCAGGGAGGCCGAGGCAGCUGGAACUGGAGAAAGAAUUCCGGCCAUCUUUUUUUUUUUUUUUUUUUUUUAAAGAUUUAUUUCUUUAUUUGAAAAGCAGAGUGACAGAGAGGGAGAGAGACAGACAGGCACAUAGAGAGACAGACCAAGGUCUUUCAUCCACUGGGUCACUCCCCAGAUGGCCGCAAUGCCCAGGGCUGGGCCAGGCCGAAGCCAGGAGCCAGGAGCUCCUUCUGGGCCUCCCACAUGGUGCAGGGGCCCAAGCACUUGGGCCAUCUUCCCCUGCUUUCCCAGGGAGCUGGAUGGGAAGUGGAGCAGCCGGGACUCGAACCGCUACUGUGACGUGA